RNAcentral lists this ribosomal RNA (253 nucleotides) under uncultured bacterium. RNAcentral describes it as "partial 16S ribosomal RNA". It matches the Rfam family "Bacterial small subunit ribosomal RNA", at positions 524 to 776 of the family's 1533-position model. The record is from RNAcentral.
UACGGGGGGGGCAAGCGUUGUUCGGAAUUACUGGGCGUAAAGGGCUCGUAGGCGGCCAACUAAGUCAUACGUGAAAUCCCUCAGCUUAACUGGGGAACUGCGUGUGAUACUGGAUGGCUUGGAUUUGGGAGAGGGAUGCGGAAUUCCAGGUGUAGCGGUGAAAUGCGUAGAUAUCUGGAGGGACACCGGUGGCGAAGGCGGCAUCCUGGACCAAUAUUGACGCUGAGGAGCGAAAGCCAGGGGAGCAAACGGG